Transfer RNA from Ipomoea nil (Japanese morning glory), 72 nucleotides. It matches the Rfam family "tRNA". From Rfam's summary of the family: Transfer RNA (tRNA) molecules are approximately 80 nucleotides in length. Their secondary structure includes four short double-helical elements and three loops (D, anti-codon, and T loops). Further hydrogen bonds mediate the characteristic L-shaped molecular structure. tRNAs have two regions of fundamental functional importance: the anti-codon, which is responsible for specific mRNA codon recognition, and the 3' end, to which the tRNAs corresponding amino acid is attached (by aminoacyl-tRNA synthetases). tRNAs cope with the degeneracy of the genetic code in two manners: having more than one tRNA (with a specific anti-codon) for a particular amino acid; and 'wobble' base-pairing, i.e. permitting non-standard base-pairing at the 3rd anti-codon position. The record is from Rfam. NCBI's taxonomy places the organism in Eukaryota, Viridiplantae, Streptophyta, Magnoliopsida, Solanales, Convolvulaceae.
GGGCAUUUGGUCUAGUGGUAUGAUUCUCGCUUUGGGUGCGAGAGGUCUCAAGUUUGAUUCUCGGAAUGCCCC